UCGCGUCCUUCUGAUCGAUUAUCAUUCUUUGCCCAAACCCUAACUCUGUGUCGCGCCGUUCACCACCCGUCGCCGGAUCUCCUUCACCUUUCUUCGUUCGCCGUCGAUCUCCUUCCCGUGUCCGUCGAUCUCCUUCACGCCGUCGCUCGCCUGUGUCCGUCGAUCUCCUUCACGCCGUCGCUCGCCCGUGUCCGUUGAUCUCCUUCACGCCAUCGACCUACUUCUCUUCCGUGUCCGUGAGAGAAGUUCAAGUUUGACGUGUAAGGCUAAAUUUUGAUUCUUGGGGAUUUGGAAGGAAGAUAGGAAGAUUGCAUUGGACGUGUUUUAAGAAGGUUGACAAGUGGAGAAGGUGCACUCAACAAAAAAGGACUUCAUAACAACAUUUCUAGUUGUUCUAAAUUUGUUGAAGUUGCAUAUUUUACAAUCAUAAUUUUAUGCUUUUAAA
Non-coding RNA from Benincasa hispida (wax gourd), 445 nucleotides. NCBI's taxonomy places the organism in Eukaryota, Viridiplantae, Streptophyta, Magnoliopsida, Cucurbitales, Cucurbitaceae. The record is from RefSeq and is a predicted model, not a curated record.